Cavia porcellus (domestic guinea pig) is the source of this 5677-nucleotide long non-coding RNA. RefSeq lists it as uncharacterized. The record is from RefSeq and is a predicted model, not a curated record. NCBI's taxonomy places the organism in Eukaryota, Metazoa, Chordata, Mammalia, Rodentia, Caviidae. The transcript has 2 exons.
UUUGAUACCAAGGCUGGAAGUCAUGAUCUUGCGCCUGCCAGGCAGGUGCUUAUGCUGCUAAGCGAAACCCCUGGCCCUGGGCAUCUUUAAAUCUUGGGUAGAUACACAGUUUUAAGUCUGGAGGGGAAAAAAAGCAAAGAAACAACUAAGUAUGCAUCGGCCAAAUAGUAGAAUUAUUAGGAUAAUUGUGAGCACAAAGAUUUCCACCUAGAGGAGCUAGUGAUGGCUUCCCAUAAGGAGUAAAAAGACAAGACCCAGGGGGAUUUUAGAGUCUGAUGUGUUGUUAAUUUGUUGUCUAAUGUUUUGAAAGCUACUGAGAUAUUAGCAGAAGAAUCAGGAAUGUAUACACAGCACUCAGUUUUUACAGUUGCACAAGUGACCCCUGUGCUGCUGUCAGGAUGUCUGAUACCAUCAGAUUUUAGAGGACAGCCUGUCUCAUUAAUUUUAUUUUUUAUCUAAAAGAAAGAGAUCAGUUGCAGUGUCAUUUAAGACUCAUUGGGUACAGUCAAGGCCUCAAUAUCUAUAUCACAUAACUCUCUGGACAGCAUCUGGUGAUCCCAGUAGGAAGAAUCUGAAAGGAAUCUAGCAUAUUAUUGGUUUCAUCUACAUGAUGCUUUGAGGUUUGGCAUCUUUCGGCAACAACAAUUUUAAUCAAAGCUUGUAGAAUCAAAGUUAGUCUAAAAGGUAUAAAUAAUCAAAGCAUGAGCAGUAGGGCUGAUAGUUAAGUUUAGAAUCUGUUUCUAAGUUACAGCAAUUGUAACUCAUUGGUUCUUGGGUCCUUUUAUUGAUGGAGGCUGACAUUUUGUCACAAAUUCUUCUAGCUUUAGCUAUAAUUAUCUCUAAAUUUUUGAUAAUGUAGGAUUAUUUAUUUUGAAAAAUGAAACUCUUUUAAAUUUUUAUAUAUGAACAACAAUGUGCACUAUGUUCGUAAAAACCAGUCUCAGCAUCAUUUGAUUAGUUGGUAACUUGGAUAUACAUUGCAGCACAAAACCUCUCCAGCACUGCAGUCGGGCUUUUAGGCAUAACUAAAACAGUCAGUGAAGAGAAAGUCAUCCACUCACAGCUUAAGCAGCCUGUAUUUUGGUGGCUGCGUUGAGGUACAGUGCCUGGAAGGAAGGCCAGAGCUGAGAAGGACAGGCCUGUGCCACGUUCAGCAACCGGCUGACUUUUUAACCUCUCGUCAGGGUUACUGGGGGCCCCUCUGGGAGGGGACAGGCAGAGAUGACAAGUCUGGCCAGAGAGGAGACAAGUGCCCCGAGAUCCUUAGUCCUGCUGGAUCAGCUGAUAGGACAGGCCAGGAUGGGUCUGAACUCCGGGGCCUUGGCCUCAGAGGGCAGGCAGUCUGACCUUCAGUGGUCCCCUGUGCAGUGGGGCAUGGCAUGGGUGCUUUUUAAGGCAGUCCCUCCCAAAGUGGCCUGGCUUGUGGCAGCGAUAGCAGGUGGGUGUCAUCAUCCAGUUCUUCGUGAAACCCUGAGAAUCAGACUUAAGAUCUGUGGGUUCUUUUUCUUUUUCUUUUUCUGUUUUUGGUCCUAGGGAUUGAACUCAUGACCUGGCACUUGCCCGGCAGGCACUUUACCGCUCAGCUAAACCCCGGGCCCGAGGUCCAUAUUUUUUAAGGCCACAAUAAAGGCAGCCAUUCCGUUUUCUCUCUCUGGUUUUCUCCCAGUCCUGAUUACAGAGUACUAAGGAAGCUGUUUUUACUAAGUAUCAAGUGAACUGUCUGGAGCAAAGGCCAUCUUUCAUAGCUUUUUCUAAUAUCUGUAGUUCACUGAGUAAUAAACAUAUCUUUAAGCAAAAUCUGUCCCUCUAUGGAAUCAGGAUCUAUUGACAUACAUUUUAUUAUUGCCUCUGAUAAAUGAUCUAAGAAGUCAGAGGGGUUUUCACUUUUUUCCAGAGAAAUAGCUGACAACCUAAAAUAACCAGAAGCCUUGGUUUCUGUCCUUCUUAGACCUUCAAAAAUACAUACUUGAAAAAGUCUCCUGCUCCAAUCUCCUGUAUUGUUGUCCGGCCCCUGGGGUCUUGGGUGGGGACUGCUUGUGCCCCAGUGGGAACUGGUGGUUCCCGGCUGUCUAUCUUCUAGCCUUCUAAAAGUAACAGAUGAUAUUUAAUAUCCAAAGGCAAUAGCAGCUUGUAAGCCUGCCUCCUUCUCACUAGAAGUAAAUAUCUGAUUUAAGAGCAACAUUAUAUCUUUCCAGCCUGGCUCCUAGGUCUGAGUAAAUCUUUUAAAGACGUCAAUGUACUUGUCUGGGUCAUCUGAAAAUUUUCCUAGUUCUAGCUUAAUUUGCUGUAAGUCACUGGAGAGAGACCUGUGAACCGGAGUGGUCUCAUAAGGAUUAUCAUUAUACCUGGAGCAUAGAUAAGAAUUACCUUUUAACGUGAAGAAAAUUUUAACAUACUGCAGUUGUAACCAUUUUUCCUCUUUCUUGCAAUAUGAUUUCAGUUGUAAAAGAACAUCAUAACUAAUACUUCCUUCUGCGUUCCUCUAGGGGGUAGGUAGGCCACACACACCUGCAGAGAAAUGCUAACCGCCCUUUAUGAACGUGGAAGGGUCGGACACCUUCCAGUGCUUAAGAGCCCAUUCCAAAGGACUGAGGGGCUCAGGCAUGGAGCUGCCCAGGGCUGUAAUGUAAAUAAAAGCAAGGCAUACGCGUAUGAAACCUUUUUUCAGGACCAGGAACCGAACUCAGGAACUUUCCUGAGCUCUGUCCCUAGCCCUGUAGUACAUGAAACUUUGAAAUCAAGCUAUGUGACUAUGCAAAAAGCAGACAAGUGGGGCGUCCCUUAUUGUUCCUAUUUGAUAAAUGUCCUCAGGCGCCCCUGGGGUUGAUUCUGCUCCAGGGCAGGUGGAUGUUCUCUGGAGAGAGUGGAAGAUAAAUUCAUCCACCCUGACCUGGCGGCCUGCUGGCCCGGUGAGCAAUCUUAUCUUCCCAGGUAGCUUGUGAACUUUGUUUCCCUAAGAAUGCUUAAAGAAGGCAGCAUAACUUUUUGCUUAUUGUACAAAGGUGAGGUAAAACAUUUCUUGUUUUGUGAAGGAGAUUCCCUGGGAAAUAGAGACAACAAAUAAACUUGAGGAACUCUACCCGAGGCCUUCAGGCACGUUUUUCAAGGCAUCUGUGUCCUCUAAUUAUCUAGGGACUCUUUUCCAGUAGAGGGACAUGGCUAUACUUUUUAAAAUUCUUAUAACUUUGAAGUUCACAGAUUAAACUUAUAAACUAUCAUCUAGCAAUCACAUUUUAUCAGUCUUCUAGGCACACAGAAAAGGCUAUUUACUCAAUAUAUAUAAGGCAAAAAUGCAAAGCAUUCUCUGCUAGUUUCUUUUGAAAUUUAAAAAGCCUCAGCCUAAUUUUUGAGAUAGUCGAACUGCCUGAAAAGUUUGGGGAACGCCUUUAGUUUACUAGCAGAAAGACCUAAGUGGAUAGGUAAGGGGAGGUUUUUGCGGUUGGGGAGCCAAGGCCACAGAGGAAAGCUUGGGCAUCUGGGCCUCAGUUGUUCUCAGUUUGCUCUGGCCCACACAACCAGAGAUCAGUCUCCAGAAAGGACCGCAGCUGUCCGUCUGGUCGAUACUCCGUGACUCCACUGCCCACUGGCUUCAGUGGGGCUUCACCAAACAGACGCUGGGGAAUCUGUCCUCUGCUUUUAGGAGCGACAGCUGUCACAGUGAUUAGCUGGCAGAGUAACCACCAUGUGUCAAAGUUCUGUAAAGCGCAGCUAAAAGCCUGAGCAAGGUCCUUACUUAGUGCUUUGUGAAUUUACAAUAAAGGUUUAAAGUCCACAGCUUGAAAGUUUGGAGAGCCUCAGCAUUCUAACUGUGUGUGGGAGCCGUCCGUGUGCUGCUUCUGCUGUCACUUGGAAGCCGGUUCUCCCCACCGUGUCUCAGCUUCCAUCUCUCAAAGAGAUGUUUCCCAGAACAGUAAGCCGAGACCUGGCUUUUAAGUGCGUUCUCCCAGACGGGCACAAUCCCGAGGUCUCAUCCGACCCACAGAUGGGGUGCAUGACCCUUGUUUCAGAUGACUUCCCUGUCUUCAGGGUUAGCAAACGCUCACUUCUAUGGGCUUAACUAAGAGGGAUGUUGGGAGCCGCGUCUGUGAUAGCUCGCCUUGCGCGGCGGACGUGCGGCCUGUGGUAAAGAGCAAAGCCUGAGGUAGAUUACCCCUCCCAUCGAAUAUGUUAGUUUCCUGCUUACCGCGUAAACAACCCGCUCAACAAUAUAGUCUGCCUGGCAACUGAUGAUGUUAGCCAAUCAGCUUGCCUUGCUUACUUUAACAUGAUUGGACACUGUACCCGUAUAUAUACCGGUGCCACCCCUGGGUGGAAGAAGAAGCCAGGUAGAAGCCCAGAAGUAAAAGCCCAAAAGGAGCCGCGGAGAGCGGACCGGUAGAGGCUUUGGGGCAGACUGAAGCACAAAAGGAGCCGCGGGGAGCGGACCAGAGGAGGCUUCAGCUGGGAGAACCCAGGGCAGGCUGUACGGAGAAGGAAAAUAAAAAGAAAAGGUUGUCCACUACCAGACUUUGUCGUGUGUCCUUCCUGCCGGCCGGGAGCGGACAUCGACAUUUGGUGGCCCGUACGGGGACUGAUCACCCCCGAGACGUGGAAGUGGACAACGCUCCAGUACAGAGCUGCGAGACAGGAACCGGGACGAGAACCACUGUGGAUACCGGAGAGACUGACACGGGCAACAAAGCCCUCGACUGAAGAUCAGACCUGCCCUACUGGAGAUCCAUCACAGACCAACCAAUAAGAUGAAUAGAAAUAGCGGUAGCCCGAAAUGGACAAGAAGAUCCUCAGGCAUAUGCAUGGCUUGCUCAAUUGGCCCACGACCGAGUCUAGAUAUGGCGGGCAUCCCUCAUUCUCCUCCAUAAGGUGACAAUACACAGCAGGGUAGGUGAGUCAAUGACGGGUAAGAGCGUGCCUCCCCAGCACGACUCGACCUAAGCCAGGCCCUACCCCAUCCUGCACGUAAGCCGCUGGACUGUUAGAUGCUGCCCAGGUCUAAAUUUCUCUCCGAGGGGAUUUCUUUACGGAGAGGAAAUGAGUGCAAGCUUGUGUGCAUCCAGGUUCCGUCCAGUUUGUGCCUGGCCCUAGAAAAAGGACGAGGGCCUCAGGGCCUUGGCAGACCAUGGCAUGGCCAACCAGGGUCUAAGCCAAGGACCUACGGUGGACCUACACAUAGGGCAUAAGCCUCUGCACCCAGUCCAGGAAGGGCUACGAUGCGCACAUUCAUAAAAAAUAAAAUAGGGGGAGAUGUUGGGAGCCGCGUCUGUGAUAGCUCGCCUUGCGCGGCGGACGUGCGGCCUGUGGUAAAGAGCAAAGCCUGAGGUAGAUUACCCCUCCCAUCGAAUAUGUUAGUUUCCUGCUUACCGCGUAAACAACCCGCUCAACAAUAUAGUCUGCCUGGCAACUGAUGAUGUUAGCCAAUCAGCUUGCCUUGCUUACUUUAACAUGAUUGGACACUGUACCCGUAUAUAUACCGGUGCCACCCCUGGGCGGAAGAAGAAGCCAGGUAGAAGCCCAGAAGUAAAAGCCCAAAAGGAGCCGCGGAGAGCGGACCGGUAGAGGCUUUGGGGCAGACUGAAGCACAAAAGGAGCCGCGGGGAGCGGACCAGAGGAGGCUUCAGCUGGGAGAACCCAGGGCAGGCUGUACGGAGAAGGAAAAUAAAAAGAAAAGGUUGUCCACUAC